GGGGUUGUGGCUCAGUGGUAGAGCACUUGCCUAGAAUGCAGGAGGCACUGAGUUCGAUUCUCAGCACCACA
RNAcentral lists this transfer RNA (71 nucleotides) under Marmota monax (woodchuck). Its description in RNAcentral is "tRNA.Ser". It matches the Rfam family "tRNA". Rfam says of the family: Transfer RNA (tRNA) molecules are approximately 80 nucleotides in length. Their secondary structure includes four short double-helical elements and three loops (D, anti-codon, and T loops). The record is from RNAcentral. Lineage: Eukaryota; Metazoa; Chordata; Mammalia; Rodentia; Sciuridae.